CAAUGGAUGGUACUGCUCUGGCUGGGGUUCACUUUCUGGUGAGCCGGUAUGCUCUUCACUGGGUGUGCCGAGGAACCAGGACUUUUACUUUGAAAAAAUUAGAGUGUUUAAAGCAGGCCUAUGCUUGAAUACAUUAGCAUGGAAUAAUAGAAUAGGACUUUGGUUCUAUUUUGUUGGUUUCUAGGACCGAAGUAAUGAUUAAUAGGGAUAGUUGGGGGCAUUAGUAUUUAGUAGCUAGAGGUGAAAUUCUUGGAUUUAUGAAAGACUAACUUCUGCGAAAGCAUUUGCCAAGGAUGUUUUCAUUAAUCAAGAACGAAAGUUAGGGGAUCGAAGACGAUCAGAUACCGUCGUAGUCUUAACCAUAAACUAUGCCGACUAGGGAUCAGACGAUGUUACUUUACUGACUCGUUUGGCACCUUAUGAGAAAUCAAAGUUUUUGGGUUCCGGGGGGAGUAUGGUCGCAAGGCUGAAACUUAAAGGAAUUGACGGAAGGGCACCACCAGGAGUGGAGCCUGCGGCUUAAUUUGACUCAACACGGGGAAACUCACCAGGUCCAGACAUAGUAAGGAUUGACAGAUUGAGAGCUCUUUCUUGAUUCUAUGGGUGGUGGUGCAUGGCCGUUCUUAGUUGGUGGAGUGAUUUGUCUGCUUAAUUGCGUUAACGAACGAGACCUUAACCUGCUAAAUAGUUAUGCCAACUUUUGUUGGUAGUCAACUUCUUAGAGGGACUGUCGGCGAUUAGCCGAUGGAAGUUUUAGGCAAUAACAGGUCUGUUAUGCCCUUAGAUGUCCUGGGCCGCACGCGCGCUACACUGAUGA
RNAcentral lists this ribosomal RNA (817 nucleotides) under uncultured Densosporaceae. RNAcentral's name for it is "SSU rRNA". It matches the Rfam family "Eukaryotic small subunit ribosomal RNA", at positions 668 to 1509 of the family's 1831-position model. Lineage: Eukaryota; Fungi; Mucoromycota; Endogonomycetes; Endogonales; Densosporaceae. The record is from RNAcentral.